RNAcentral lists this ribosomal RNA (405 nucleotides) under Triticum aestivum (bread wheat). Its description in RNAcentral is "partial small subunit ribosomal RNA". Lineage: Eukaryota; Viridiplantae; Streptophyta; Magnoliopsida; Poales; Poaceae. The record is from RNAcentral.
AUGAAGAAGGCGAUGCCGUCGCCGCCGGUGGAGCCGGCGUUCUGGUUGGAGACGACGAAGGAGAACCUGGCGGCGAAGGAUGCGGUGGCGUUGCCGCUGCCCCGGAGCGCGACGGGUCGGCUGCACAGUACGGUGCCGGCGCUGGAGGACGGCACGCCCGUGUCCCGCGUCAGCCCCACGGAGCCGUUCCGCAGGAAGGCGUCCCCCAGCAGCGUCAGGUCAGAAAAGGAGAGCGUGGCCGAGUCGAUGCUGACGGUGUUGUUCUUCCCCGCCGACGACGACGCGGAGGAGGCGGGCGGCACCAGAGACGCCGCUAGCAGCAGCAGGAGGAGCGGCACGAAGCGGAGGAGCAGGAGGUCGGCGGCCAUCGGUGGUGGUGGUGAUGGCGAGGGUUUCGGGUCAUGA